This 1505-nucleotide long non-coding RNA is filed under the name Homo sapiens (human). RNAcentral describes it as "HSALNT0220113". Lineage: Eukaryota; Metazoa; Chordata; Mammalia; Primates; Hominidae. The record is from RNAcentral.
CUACACCAAGCUGAAAUGCCUGAGUACCAUCCAAAAGGGAAGAAAAAAAAAUGUGUCCUGUAGUAUCAAAAAUGCUGGAAUGGAGAUAUAAAGUAAUGUAUAGUCAGUGAGAGCAUGUUUUAUAUCUAUGACAGAAUAUUCUGACAUUAGAAGCGCAGACUAAAAUCAAACAAAAUGAAACAACAGUAUGUCCAGCACUCAGCUUUGUAAAAAUCCCAGGCUGUAAGCACAUUUAAUUUAUUUUUCAGGAUGACACAGCAGCUAAAACAAUUUAGUCCACAAGAAGAUUCCACAAACAAUGCAUCAACAGUCUCCCAAAAUAUACAUAUUUACUUUUAAUUCCUCAGUUGAGGCCAUGGAAAUAAAAAUGGAGGUGAGUGAGAAAAUUAUUGUGGACCCUGAUAAUCACUGAACUAUUGAUAAUGGGGAUAAAAUAAACAUUUGGGGAACUUUACUGGCUACUCAGUGUUAUACCCAUUCACAUUAGAGGUUUAAUUCUUAAGGAAUGAUUUAUGAAAAAAUAAAGGGAUUCUACUGGAACUUCUUGAGACAUACAAACCCUGAGAGAGGCUUAGUAUUUUAAAAAAAACCUAUAGAAAAAUUUGCACUUGGAUAAUCCUGUAGUACCCCAAUUAAUUAGAAGAAAUAUGUUCCAGGGAAGCAUUUCAUUUCUGAAAUCCUGCAACACUCUCCCUAAGACAAUGAACAGGAUUUACUGUGGCUACCAAGUCGUCACUGACCCUGAAGAUUGGUUCCACUCACUCUUUGUGGUUCAAAAAAAGCACACCCAGCUUACCAUUUGGUUUUAGCUUCUUGCUCACAUAGUGUUUGAGGGGUUUUGUUGUUUCUUUUUGACAUACCAUGUGAUUUUAUUCUAAGGAGGUCAAGAACAGGCAAAAAUAUAGGGAAAAAUUUAAACAGUGGUUGCCUCAGAAAGUAGAGAUCAGGGGUUGAUUACCAAGGGGCAUAAGGGGACUUUUGUUUUAUAUCUUCAUUGGAGUAGCUGGUUACACAGGCAUACACUGUCAAAACAUUUAACUGUUUAUGUGACAUCUGUGUAUUACAUUAUAUGCAAAUUUUAUCUGAAAAUGUAAGCUAAAUAUGACUGUGCUCAGAAUUAAUGGAAAAGUGUAGACCUUCCUAAACUCCUUUCAACCCCUGGGGGUGAUGCUUUAAAGCCAGCGAGGUUUCUUUGUAUCCAGACAGAGAAUGUGAGUCCCAGCAUGUAACAAGGGAUGAAGUGGAGGCUAGGCUGGGGCUGAGUAUGAUGACAUGAGGCAGUGUCAAUCAUACUAAGAGGACAACCUGGGACAGGGAUGUGGGCUGCAGGAAGAUGCCCCUUAGGACCAAAACUGCAUCAGGUAAGUGCCUGCCAAGAGCUGUCUUCUGAAAAUGGGCAUCUGACCUUAUUAAGAAAGGUUGGUUGGGUUGGCUGUUGAAGGCCUCUAGCCAGCUCUUGCACAUGGCUGAAUUAUCUGAUGGAACCAGGACGAGCUUAAUGUUUC